GACGAACGCUGGCGGCGUGCUUAACACAUGCAAGUCGAACGGAAAGGCCCUGCUUUUGUGGGGUGCUCGAGUGGCGAACGGGUGAGUAACACGUGAGUAACCUGCCCUUGACUUUGGGAUAACUUCAGGAAACUGGGGCUAAUACCGGAUAGGAGCUCCUGCUGCCUGGUGGGGGUUGGAACGUUGCGGCGGUGGGGGAUGGACUCGCGGCUUAUCAGCUUGUUGGUGGGGUAGUGGCCUACCAAGGCUUUGACGGGUAGCCGGCCUGAGAGGGUGACCGGCCACAUGGGGACUGAGAUACGGCCCAGACUCCUACGGGAGGCAACAGUGGGGAAUAUUGCACAAUGGGCGGAAGUCUGAUGCAGCAACGCCGCGUUCGGGAUGACGGCCUUCGGGUUGUAAACCGCUUUCGGCUGUGACGAAGCGUGAGUGACGGUAAUGGGUAAAGAAGCACCGGCUAACUACGUG
This 468-nucleotide ribosomal RNA is filed under the name uncultured bacterium. Its description in RNAcentral is "partial 16S ribosomal RNA". It matches the Rfam family "Bacterial small subunit ribosomal RNA", at positions 28 to 507 of the family's 1533-position model. The record is from RNAcentral.